This 168-nucleotide ribosomal RNA is filed under the name Siphamia senoui. Its description in RNAcentral is "partial 12S rRNA". The record is from RNAcentral. Lineage: Eukaryota; Metazoa; Chordata; Actinopteri; Kurtiformes; Apogonidae.
AACCGCGGUUAUACGAGAGAAGCCCAAGUUGAUAUUUCUCGGCGUAAAGUGUGGUUAGCGCCUUCUUAUACUAAAGCCGAACGUCUGCACAGGUGUCAAAAGCGUCUGCAGAUAUGAAGCCCCUCACGAAAGUAGCUUUAAUCCCGUGAAUCCACUAAAGCCAAGAAA